RNAcentral lists this ribosomal RNA (1170 nucleotides) under Triticum aestivum (bread wheat). Its description in RNAcentral is "partial small subunit ribosomal RNA". Lineage: Eukaryota; Viridiplantae; Streptophyta; Magnoliopsida; Poales; Poaceae. The record is from RNAcentral.
AUGCGCCAGCCUCCGGGUUUCUCUGAUCCGGAUCGUCCUGAUCAUCUCUGUCGUCUGUCCAAGGCAAUUUAUGGUCUGAAGCAGGCUCCGCGUGCUUGGCAUGCUCGUCUUGCAAUGGCUCUUCGUGCUCAUGGUUUUGCAUCAUCAACUGCUGACUCCUCAUUGUUUCUUCUUCAAAGGCCUGAGGUUACUAUGUACUUGUUGGUCUAUGUAGAUGAUAUCAUUUUGGUCAGCUCCUCUCAGUCGGCUGCUACUGCGCUUGUUCGCUCACUUGGUGCUGAUUUUGCGGUCAAGGACCUUGGGAAGCUUCAUUACUUUCUUGGUGUGGAGGUUACUUCUCGUGCUGCUGGCCUUGUUAUGACGCAGAAGAAGUACUCUCUGGAUUUGUUGCAGCGAGCUGGGAUGCUUAAGUGCAAACCGACGACUACACCCAUGUCUACCACUGAUAAGCUCAAUGCUGUUGAUGGUAUGCUUCUUUCUUCUUCUGAUGCGACAGAGUACAGGAGUAUUGUUGGUGGGCUCCAGUACUUGACGAUCACGCGACCAGAUAUUUCCUAUGCUAUUAACCGAGUCUGCCAGUAUCUGCAGUCACCCCGUGACACUCAUUGGUCUGCUGUUAAGCGGAUUUUGCGCUAUAUUCGUUUCACGGUGGCUCAUGGUUUGCAUAUUCGGCCGUCUGACUCUGGUUGUCUUUCAGCAUAUUCUGAUGCAGACUGGGCUGGCAAUCCGGAUGACAGGCGAUCCACGGGGGGUUAUGCUGUCUUCUUUGGCUCUAACCUGAUUGCCUGGAGUGCUCGAAAACAGGCUACUGUCUCGCGUAGCAGUAUUGAGGCUGAGUAUAAGGCUGUGGCCAAUGCCACAUCAGAGAUCAUCUGGGUACAGUCCUUGCUUCAGGAGUUAAGUAUACCCCAAUCACAGCCUCCUGUUCUUUGGUGUGAUAACAUCGGUGCUACAUACCUUUCUGCAAAUCCGGUAUUCCAUGCCCGAACGAAACACAUUGAAGUUGACUAUCACUUUGUGCGUGAACGUGUCUCUCAGAAGCAACUACAGAUCAAGUUUAUUUCUUCCAAGGAUCAACUUGCUGACAUCUUCACCAAGCCAUUGCCUUUGCCACAGUUUGAGACUUGCAGGCACAAUCUUACCCUUCUAGAUUCAUUAGAAAGUGGCUAA